UCCUCAUAAAUAUAUUGCUAAGUAUCUCCAGCUGUUAUGUGGGAGACCAAGGUUCGAUUCCCUGAUGGGGAA
Non-coding RNA from Colinus virginianus (northern bobwhite), 72 nucleotides. The record is from Rfam. Lineage: Eukaryota; Metazoa; Chordata; Aves; Galliformes; Odontophoridae.